RNAcentral lists this unclassified non-coding RNA (225 nucleotides) under plant metagenome. RNAcentral's name for it is "partial contains small subunit ribosomal RNA, internal transcribed spacer 1, and 5.8S ribosomal RNA". The record is from RNAcentral.
UCUCCGUUGGUGAACCAGCGGAGGGAUCAUUACCGAGUUAUCAACUCCCAAACCCCUGUGAACAUACCACAACGUUGCCUCGGCGGGACCGCCCCGGCGCCCCUAGCGGCCCGGAACCAGGCGCCCGCCGGAGGACCCAAACUCUUGCUUUGAACAGUGGCAUACUCUCUGAGUCUCAAAAACAAAAAUAAAUUAAGACUUUCAACAACGGAUCUCUUGGCUCUG